Molecule: RNA transcript, 14948 nt
Organism: Gallus gallus (chicken)
Lineage: Eukaryota; Metazoa; Chordata; Aves; Galliformes; Phasianidae
Exons: 5
Source: RefSeq, a predicted model, not a curated record
GGGGGCCGCGCGCUCUCCCUCGCUCCCUCAGCGGCAUUCGUCCGUGCUUCCCUCAGGCGGCUUUGCCUUCUCGGAGAGAAGGGGCGCAAGACCUGCUUACCCCCGCUGCAGGUUUGUCUUUCAGAUCAACAAGAAUCCUGAAGGGAAGUGCACCUUCUCCCUACCUCCAUCCCACCUAGCAGCACUCCUCUGAACACCAGCAGCCUGCAAUUGGCUUGCCAUCACUGUGGCUGCAGAGAUGUUUCUGAAAAUGUUUGUUUUCCUAAGUACAGUGGUGAAAGAGAAUGGCUGGGUCUGUACCUUGUUCUCUCUGGAUGUGCACAAAGCAGUCAACCAUAUCCCUGCACUACUGCUCUGCCUGGAUCUGCUUGUCAAUGUAUUUUUAUUUUUUCAAACAGAAAUCUCUCAGAUAAUUUAUAGAUGGAAAAUAGAAAUGUAAAAGCACUACUGUUGCAACUCAGCUCUGUACAUCUCAAGCUGAUAUGUUGUCAUCAAGGAACCACCAAUUUUUGAAAGGGCUGAAUAACAAAACCUUCCAUCAUACACUUAAACUUCAGGCUUAAGACUUCUACUGUGUGAAAUGAAAGCAACUCUUGAACAAUUCAAACCAAGCUGUGAAUGACCCAGUGAGCAUGAGCAGUCAAAGGCAUUUAAAGGAUCAGUUUAGAAUUACUCUGAGUGCAAUCUACUAGUUGAAACGAGCUAAGGAUUUGACCAUGAGAACCUAAAGAACUGAAUUUAAUUUCCUAAAUACAUAUAUAUUUUUUCUUUUGAUCCCACUGCUAGCAAGUACAGGCAGUGAAAGAAAAAAAAUUGCACUAUUGACAAAGGCUGUGAUAGGACACUAUGCAGAUGACCAAAUCUAAAUGUGCUGGCUGGGGGUAAAAAAUAGGACCCAAGAAAAUCAAACAUUUUAAACUAGAUCUUUAGUAAAACUAUCUACAUACAUAAACAAAUACCAUCAGAGCAGCUAGUUUGUCUACUACGAACCUUUCAGCAAUUAGUAGGGAAGCUGAAUUCUGUAGAAGCCUUCUGAUUUUGCAAGCAUUCCUUCCCUUGCCUCAUACAGAUAGAACCUUUUUUUUUUCCAGCAUCCAGCAUUAGACUGUAGAAGGCCUAGCUAAACAAAUACUGUUUAAAUGAACAAAAAGAGAAAAUAUGUAACCUUAAAAGAAAUUAGAAUAGCACUGUACUGGUCUUUUAAAAAUAUACAUUUUUUAUUAUGAAAUUAUGAACAUAAUACAAAAGUAGCUAUCCAUGCAUUGGUCUUAAACAAAAAUAUCACCCUCAGCACACCUCUUCUGUGUCUUCAAAACUGCUUUUUUAACAAAUGUAAGCAUUAUUUAUGAUAAAAGUCAUGAAAUCAGGUAAAACAUCAGUUACCGCUGUAGGUCUAACAGUGUGCACUAGCAAAAAUGUUACACCACCAGUUUUGGGUGGCUAAACAUCAUCAUUCUUUUAAAAGGUUUCUUUUUGUUGUGAUUAACACAAUGUUACUGAAAAUAUUUGUGUAUUUUUCAUGUGCUUAGAAGCACAAAGUUUUCAUUAAUUGGGAAAUUUACUUUUCCCUAUCAGUGACUGCCAAAUAUUCACAGAGCACUUUGAGGAUAUCAGUGUAUCAUUUCACAUUGAAUACUGGACAGUGAAGAGCAGUGAAUGUACUUAUUAUGGGAGGCCUUCACAUAAUGAAGUUACAAGGAGGAUAAAUAAUUUGACAAUAGAUAAAUACAAAAACUUUGGUGCUCUGAAAUUUUUUAUAAGUAUUCAACUGAUGAGGUCAUUAGAAUCAUCUCUAAAGUUUCAUCGGUGUCAAAUCAAAAGGUAGAUUUACCUUUUUAAAAGCAUUUCAAAGGUGAACCAUCGGCAGUCACCUCAAUUGAGUUAAUUUCUCGCUACCCUUAAAUGCUUUGAGAGAUGAGAACAAGGAUGGCUGAAUAUUCAGGAAGUUCAUCUACGUAGCUAAACCGAAGGACAGCUUAAAGGCCAGCUCAACAGCGACUUCCGCGACUGAGUCAUGGAAACAAACAUAAAACUCCUGUGGUUUUGGAUGCAAGAAGAGUCUCCUGAAGAAAAAGAACACAAAAAAAACCCCACAAAAAUAAGAAAUCACAGGUGUUAGCUUUUUGCAAUUGCUGUGUAAUACGGCUAGCAAAUUUCUGUGGCCCUCCUGCAUGAUUUUACUGUUCUCAUAUGUUAGAAUCCUAAGAUAAGUUAUUCUCUGUUCAGUUUUCCCAAGCCUAUUAAAAAAAGUUUUUCAUGUUUUUAGUAGGUAUUUUGAUGUUACUUUUGUUUUUGCAUUGGGUUACAUGGGAGCAAACGCCAGUAUUUACAUAUUUAGUCAUUUUUAAACUUAAUACAACCUAGCAGGUACAUUCCUGCGUCACUCCAACAGACUCUUUGAGGGAAGGAACUAAAAUAGGAAAGCUGUUAAUAUACCUUUGUAUAACUGUAUGUAGCAUUAUAACAUAGCACAUAGUUCUUUAAGUAUUAAUGAACUGUCCUUGGUCAUCCUGCUGACUGACUAAUCCUAACAAGACUGUCUGCUAACUGCAGCUAAAUAUUAGGCAUCACAAAAUAUGGUCGGUGAGAAGUGAUGGCUACAGAAUGUGGCUUGCUGGCCUGGUCUUAAACAAUUAAAUUAUUUGUAAUGUUCUGAAUCAUCAAGUGAUGAUGCAUAGUAUUUUCUCAUUACACUUGAUUACUUUGAAUAAAAGCUCUUGUAUUUAAAUAUUUAAUACCUAGGGCAGCACACUGUUCUGUCAUGCAAGUAAGUUUUAAUUUAAAUUAUAUGACAUCACAGUAAGUAGAUCAUUUGUGCUGACAGCAGAACUUGGAAAGCAAAUCCAGGAAAGAAUGCUCCCUCCCCAAAACAUCUCAGAUAGACCAGUAGGUGGAUUUGAUCUUCCCAGUUGAAAAAAUAUUCUUAAAUAUGAUAGCAGCAUACUCAAAAUGGAAGGCUUGGAGAGAAAUAGAUUUGUCUGCCUUUAAACUUACCCCACAACCCAGUAACUCAGUGUUGGUGGUGGUUUCUUCUGAUCAUUCCAGUUCUCAGGAGAGCACUCAAACAGAACUCCGUGUUCCCUUACUGGACCAAUGUCUUCAUCGGUACUACUAAAUUCUGAGAUCUUACUGCCUGCUUUCUUCUUUUUCUGUAAAACAGUUGGUGAAGUGUUGGUAUAGAUAUAUUGUUUUAAUGCAAACAUUAGUAUAUGUAACUUUAACAUGCUUUCUUCAGAAAGCUGCUGAAUGACAUUGCUGUCCAAAAGCCGGAUAGAAGAUAAAACUAUUUUGCUCACGUGAUUCUUUUCUUCAGUUUUGUUACUUCAGUAUCAACAUUUUAGUAUUUUUUAAUUUUUUAAUAUUUUUUAUAAAAUAUUUUUUAAAUAUUGUUACACAAUUUGGAAGUACUCCCCUUAUUUUGAUUUUUUGGUCUAUCUGAACAGCAUUCUCUUUAAUAAGACAUCUGAGAUAAAGCAGCUUCAUUAACAACCAAGUACGUUAAAGCAGCUAAAGCUCUCAUCUCUUGCUUUAAAUUAACGGUAUAAUAGUACAUUUUUGCCUUAUUUUUUUUCUUUUUGUCAAGCCCUAUGAACACAGAAGAAGUUCUAUUCAUUCUUUUACAUUCUCCUUGUGCCCCAAUACAACCUGGCAACUACAACAUUAAUUGUUGAAGCCAACUGACGAAAACUACCAUGGAUUUUUGGAGUCAAAAUACUCUUAGUUAACAAGCUGGCUUACACAGGUUUCUCAGAUUUUCCUCUAAAAGAAACUUUGUUCUGCAGCACAUGUUCAAUUGUUUCUGACUUUCAGGGCAUAAUGAACCCAGCUGCUGCUUAUGGUAAAGACACACACCUGAAGAACCCAGAAAAACACGUGCUGACACAGCUGUUGCCAAAACAGAAGCUGUCACUUUCAAGCAUGCAUUCUUCACUUUUUAUGAUCUACAUGUAAUAGUUGAAUGGUUUGUUUACUCAGGUAUCUUUAGUUUGAACUACAAGCUGCCUAUUUAACGAUUUUAACCAAAGGCAAUUUGAUCAGAAGAAACAUCUGUGUACUCUCUCUGCUUGCUUUUGUGUUUCCAAAUCUCCUGCCAAAGUGCCCAGAACAAAAGACGCACUGCAAAUGUCUUAUUCAGCCAAACAUCAGCAUCUUAUGGUGUUGGCAGAAUAAUCCACCAAAUUAAGCUGUUUUUCCUAAUGCUUAAAAAAAAAAAAAAAAAGAAGAAAAAUAAAGAUUUAUGAGGUACAUCAGUCUAACCAGAAAUGACUUCUUCGGUAACUUCAAGAAAACACAGAGGAAAAUAAUACUGAUACUUGCAAACUGCAUUCAUUCAAUUUGUACUGUUCUUUCGCAUUUCACAUUUAAUGCAUUUGGACUGUCACUUAAGGACCUAAGAACAUGCAAGUGGUAUACAGUAUUCCACUUGUGAUAAUAUUAUUUCUUUUUUCCAAAGAGACUAAACAGGUCACAAAAUCAGCAGGGAUUAAAUGUUACCCAAUUCAGUUUGUGUCAGUAAAAAUCAACUGCAGAAUUAACAAACUAGACUCUGAACAAAACAAAACUGGUAUUGAACACAAAACAUCUGAUCUGAGCAUCUCAAAUUGAUUCUCAUAGCUAUUGUUUAGAUUUCUGCAUUACUUUGGAUGAAUCAUUUGAAGAAAGCAGGAAACUACAGUGAAGCACAAGGCAGAAGAGUUGCUGACAUCAGAUCUAUCCUCUUUUUUUCUACCUUUUUUUUUUUCUUCCCUAAAUGCCAAACACUCAAGUGAAGCUCUAGUAGCAGGGAUCAGGAUUCAGCCCAAGGCUAGAGCAAGGCUUGAACAUUUUGUAAAGAGAAAAAAGCUCACCUGUUGUGCCAUCCCACAUAAUCUGAAAUCCAAGAGAUUAUUUGGCAGCAUAAUUAAAAAGAAUUGAUCGUUGUAACCAGCCAGAUACUAGACAGAUAUUAACGUGAGAAAAAUAUCAGAGACAUCAGUGGGUGGCAAAUGUGUAAGCAAGCUCAGGUAGCGCAGAGAACAAAGGCACUGAGAACAAACAUUCCCUCAGCUUCAGAGAGGCUCUCUUCAAGACACACCAUCAGAGCAGCAAGGGGAGCACUGGCACUGCUCAUAUCAAACAUUUGCUGUGCAAAGAGAGGGCAUCCAUUUACUUUUUCCUACAGUCUGAAAUGUCCUUGUAGGAUUAAUACGACUAAAAGAAUCUAACAGUCCUCUUGUGCUACUUCCUACACUUCAACCCAAUGUGCGAGAACUUUGUGCUAAGUUACAGAGCUCUAAAAUCAAGCAGAAAAAAGAAAAUAACAUACUGAAUUCAUGGAGUAUUUAUUCUAAGGGCAUGGCAGGUAGAACCAUAGUUACAUGCAUACAGGGUUGGAUGUUCAGACAGAAAAUCUGCCUAUUGCAGUAAAAGAGUCAAGUGCUUUUAAACAACCACACAAAGAAUUGCCUGCUAGUGAACUUUUUAAACAAAGAAGUGAAAAUAAUAUUGAAAUAAUAAAUUGAGAACGUAAAUAGAGAGAAAAGCUGAAAACAAAGCUUACAUACUUCUUUCAUCAUGCACUGCUGAAAAACUGAACGAAUUGAGAGACAGCAACGAUGGAAAUUCUCAAUUAACCGAGGGUGGAUGGAGCCCCCGAGCCGUGCAACUUCCUUGUGAGUCGGAGUAAUAAAGAUUCCAUGCAUUGUUUCCAAAGAUAGAUAGUGGAAUAGGGUAUUCUCAGGACCAGAUGUCAACCUUCAAAAAUAGGAUAAUCAUUUUAAUAUUUAAAUAAAUCUGAAUGAAAUUUCAGUUAAACAAUAUGUACAAUUUUCUUAUAAUUGUUUUUCUGGUAGCUGCAAUGGAGUACUAAAAUGGAGACAUUAGAAAGGUGCUUAUUUCUAUAUCAAGGAAAUCUGCUAAUUUGGACUGCUUAUAUUAAAAUUUAACACGUAAGUGUAGUUAGCUAUUGAGCUUGUGCUCUCAAAAAAAGUUCUGAAGAAAACCACAACCCUAAAGCUUUCUUUUGCACUCCAACAAAAUACCAGAGCAGACAGUGUUGUCCAAAGAACAGGGGGAAACUAGGAAGAGCCACAGCUUCUGUACUUUGUUCACCUACCAAGAAACAACAAGGAGGAAUGAGGUGCACGUGAGCCAAAAAUGCAUUCACUUGAAUUUCUGCAUUCACAUAUAUGUUGGACAUGUAUACAUUCCACUGAAAUAUGCUUGAGAAAGUCUUCUAAGAGUUCACAUAGCAAGGUUUUGGUUACAAUAAAAUUAUGCAAGGAUAUGUACCUCUUUAAAAAAACAUGCAUGUAUGACUUUAAAAAUGAAAUAAUUGUUUUUUUUAAAAAAACAAUUUCUUACUUGAUAGUGUUAAAAAGUUCCAUGUCCUUCUCUGACAAGUUCUUCUUAAGGUUUCCUAAAUGAAAUGGAUUUGGUAGAGUAUGUUUUUUUCUAGCAACCUGAAAAACAAGUAGAUGGGUGAACUAACAGAAGAUAUUGACAAGGAAAGAAUAGAAUUAAAUAAAGAAAUUACCUAUUUAAAAGAAAAAUAAUGUAUUGCUUUCGAGAAGCCCCAGUCACAUCAAUUAAUGUAAAAUGUAUUUUAGUCUAUUUUUGGCCAAAUUGAUGAGAAGCAGUUGUACAACCACACAGCAAGUUGUCCUUACUGCUUUUGUUUACACCAUUAUUAUUUUGGGGAUAUUCUCCAAUUACUUACUCUAAUUCCAACACAGCUGUCCCCAGUUUAGUCAGCUGAAAACCAAAUAUUUAGAAGCAACAAUAAUCCAAAUAAAAAGGUGACAGCUGGGAGGCUGACUCAAAGUUUCCCAAAGCAACUCAAGUAUCUUCUACUGAAUUCAGGGACAUUUUAUUCAGCUCUGCUUUGGGAUUUUUGCUUGUUUGCUUGUUUUAAGUUAGUGAAUUUUGGUAAGAACUGCCACUUUCCCCAAGCCCACCAAAACCUGUUCUGUUUUCAGACCUGAUCUGCUAGAGAGUGUAGAUUAUUGCUUUCAUCUUCUGCAGGACCUUCAUUACCAUGGUCAGGUCCUCCACUGUUUCUUGUAGGACUUGGCUUACGUGUUGUUAAGGAAGAGUCACCAAACAGAGUCCUUUUGCUUGCUGGAGUAGUUCCUGUUCUGGAGGCAUUUUGUAUCUUACUUAGGAUAGGUGAGGUGGUUAAGCUCUCCAGUUUGUCACGUGUUGUAGGAAGGAACCAGUCAGCACAAGAUAAAGGUGGAAUGGAAGGAGAAUCUAGCCUCUCCUCUAUGCUGGCAUCUAUACCUUCCAGUUGAAGUAUAGUGGCUUUGACCUGGUCUACAUAUAUACAGUCUGGUCCUGGAUUCCCAAUGGCUUUUGAUGCACAGCCUCCUGCCUCUAGCAGAACACACAGCAUAAAGUGUCUCUGUAAACAUGGAGGUAGCAACAUUAGCCUUUGAUUUAAAAUACACUAUUUACUAUAUUAUAUCUCACCAGAUGGUUGGACAAAAAACAGUACUAUACUCAGGAGCCCUUCCUCCUCCCCAGAGCCAUUUUUAAGUUAUCCUUUCACAUUAUCUAAGUUAUCAUGCAAAUGAAAGCUAUGGUUUGCAUACUCAUCAGAUAUUAGACAAAAAGCAUAAUGAUUUAAAAAAACAUUUCUUCAGUGAGUUAUCUGAAAAUACAGGAUCAUUAAAGUAAAACAUUUCCAACUGAAGUGGAAAAGUAUAAAAAUAACAAGAUGCAAACAAUUCUACUACCUAAUAAAUAAUGUCCCAUGAAACAGAUAAAAUAGGAAUAUUUUCUAAAAUUACUAAAUUAACAUGUGGACAAUUAUGAUCUUGCUGAAUAUCAGACAAAACAAUAAUAAAGCAGAGCAUACAAAAAGGGGUAUACAUAACAGGGAAAUGCUUACUUACCAAGCCAACUAUCAAUAAGAAGUAUCUCGCUUCGGGUUCAGUGUAUCCUGUAAAAUCUGGCACUUCACAUGAUUGGAUAUGAUGUUGUGGAAAUACUUCCCGCCAUAUCACUAACUGACCAAUCUUCUGUUCUGCUGCCAAGGGUAACAGACAAUAGUGCUGGCUAUAUAAACCUAUAUCAAUGAGAUCUUCCUUUGGCAAGUGAUUGCCAAUCAAGUAACCCUUAAUUGAACACAGAAAAGGAAGCGUAUUCAGUAAGAAACUUGUUGACCAAAAAAACUCAAAAAACAAAAAAGCCCCAAACCAAACUGUGCUGAUAAUUUACUCUCAUAAUACUACAGGUAUAAAGAUCAAGUGCAUGACAGUUAGUUUCCUUAAAGCAAAGGGUGCUGUCUUCCUCUGUCUUUACCUUGUCAAAUACACUACCUACAUUUAAUAAGAUAGGUAAGUUUACAAAUAAGGCCCAAAUGAAAAAGCUGGCAAUCCAAUUUGUCAAAUCUUAGAUUUGAAGACAGAUCAAAGAUAGAUGACUGGCUGUCAUCUUUAUUAAAUAACAGCAAUGCAAAGAAAAAUCCUGGUAGAAUAUCAUACCGAAUCAAUUCAAGUGAGUCUUCCAUCUCAUAUUACUGUCUUUCUUCAAUCCUUGCAUCACAUGCAACAGAAUUUCCAUAAGACAGCUUCAAACAAAUAUUUUAGUUUUAUUGAUCAUAUAGCAUGUAUCACUUUAUGAUCUUUUUGUUGAUGUUUUUGUUACAGUGUUUUUAAUCUCUUACUAGAACUAUGUAUUUAAAGCAAACAUACAUUUAUCAUAUUUAUGAGGUUCUGAAAAGAGUUACUGCAUGACUGGAUUUUUGAAUGUUUUGCUUUCCCAACCUGUAGGCCUUAACCAGUAAUACUACCUUGUAGAAGAGACAGGAGCCCAUAAUCAUAUAUAAUCUUCUCAUGUUGUAGUAAUCUUCAGACUGCGAACAAAAGCAUGAGUUUUUAGUUCAGGCUUUUUAUUUUACAGAGUGAAUACAAGGAAACUAAUUCCAGUCAAUCAGUAUUAUUUCAUAUUUUCAUUUUUGACCACUUAUAUUGAUCGGGCAUCAGAACAGCAUUAAUAAGAAUAUUUUGAGCAGUUAAGUGAAAUACAAAGUUUUAGCCUACAUAAUAAAUUUUCAUGUCACCAUAGUUUUCAGCUCAAAAUAAGAUGCUCAGAUUUCCCAUCCAGCGUUUAUCUGCCCAUAAACAAACUUUUCAAGAGAUGAUAAUUCUUACAGCAUACUGAAGCGUAACUACUGACACCAGAGACCCUUGUAGAGCAAAACUUCCAAGUCAAAGCAUUUUUAAUAGUUUUUUGCAAUUUUACCCCAAAUAUGCCUACUCAUAGAUCUUUUAGUUUACUUGCCCAUUGCUCUCAGAGUAUUAAGACUAACUUUAUAUGGAUACAGAGUAUUUUAAAUGAUUGGGUGCAAUCCAUUUAUUUGCAAUAAAAUACAACUUCCUCUUCUGAAAAUAUUCAUCCAGCCUGUUUGGCACCACUUUUUUUAAUUUGUUUUGAAAGACUGACUAUAUGACUGCCUAACUUGUAUUUUUAGCUUCAAGCAUCAUGAAUUAUCUGAACAAGAUUUCAGUGCAUUUACAUCUCACCAUCCUGUUCACCAAGUAGAAAGCAUAUGCUCAAGUAAAUUACUAUCUUCUCCUUUAAGAUUAUGUAUAACUUGUAAUUGCUUUAUUCAAACUGGUAAGUUAAGUUCUCAGUGCUCCACUGAAACCUUUUGUUUUAUUCACAAUUACUUGGGAAGGAGACAGUUACUGCAUGCAAACAACAAAAUGCUAACAACAAAAGUAAACAUUUACCAGUUCAGCAAAAUCAGCUGCUUCAAGAUCACUCAGUGCCGUGUCAAUUUCCAUCUGAAAUAUUAAGCAGUACAUUUUAAUAGAGGCUUCCAACAUACUAAUUUACAGUAAAAGCAUAAUUCACUUUAUCUUGCUAAUCUUAGGGGAUUAACAUUCACAAGUACAAAGUUGGAUGGACAAAAACACGCAUACUUUUUAACAGCAAUAUCAAGUACCAAGAACACCUCAAUUCAUCAGGUUAAAGAAAAAUAUUCAAUUGCUAUGUGUUUCCCCCUUCUUUGAAACUAAAAUGUCUCUUCUUCUACGCCUCCUGAACCCACUGUGCUGUAUAUAAAGAUGUCGCACUUAGUUUCAGUAUGUUUUAAAACAUGAGGUCUAGAGACUACUCCCUGAAGGCUACUAUAUCAAACUGAGCUUUUAGAAAAAUCUUUUUCCACAACGGAUUUAGUCUUUACCUCUAAGGAAAUUUCCAAAACUUCACAACGUAUGAUCUGUGUUCUACUGAACCCGCUUUAUGCGGGUGCAUUUCUCUUCAUGCAGGAGCUGUUGGUUAAUGCAAGUUUUACUAAAAAUACAUUGCCUUGAAGAACGUCAGUAGCCACUGAAGUUCAUGACAUAAAUGUGCUACUAAUAAAAAGAACCUACAACCCACCAUGACAGGCUCCCUGGGCUGUUUAAACAAGCUGACUCUAAUUGAAAUACAGCCGGUUUCACAAACAGAAACAUCAGCUACACUGUUGGCAGUCAACAAGUAACCAACAUCUCAGCUUUUUCCUCACUUAAGAUGUAAAUGGCUUUCUGCCCAACUAAAGAACUGACAUUUGUAUUCACCAAAGAAUACAUAAAUAAAAAACAUCUUCACUAAAUUUAUCUACCAGAAAUUUCCUCUUUGUCUAGAAAAAAAAAUCUUGAAGAUGUGGAUGAUCUAAGAUAAUUUUGGAAAUCCAUGUUCAUAUCAUACAUAGUAAAGCAAACUGUUUUGUAAACCCCUCUAAAAUCCUGUCAUUUUAUAAGAAGGUAAACAACCUGCAAGCUAAAAUAGAGACUGAAGCAUUACAGUCUCUCUCAGCAGAAAUGUGAGAAAGAAGAAAAAAAGCACGGAGGAAAAGAAAGGCUCACCACCAAAUAGUACAAGAAAAUAAAAGUAUCAUUUUCUUGAGAGGAAAAAAAAAACGUGAUAAUAGAGGUGUACUAAGUUACAUUUCUAAUGUACAUCACUGUGCUGACUAACCACGUUUUACAACUAAGAAAUGCAUAGACAUUUUAAUCCCCUCAAUUACGGAGCAUGAAUUUUGCAAGAGAGUGGAUGGGUGUGUGUUACAAGGGCUAUGUGCACACCUCACCAUUUUUCACUUGGAUAGCAGAUAUAACUGGGAUAAGGAGAUGAAAGCAAUUGUCCUGCAGCACUCAAGAAACACGUACUUCUGUUGCUAAAACAUAUACUGCAAAAGCAGAGACUAAAAUUCUCCCCCACUCAUAAAUAUGACAUGCAAACUGCUCUUCACAUGAAAUGGAAAGUAAUAUCCUAAUUACAGAAUUGAAAAUAUAUAAAAAUCUUGAAGGCAAAAAUGAUUCCUAGAUUCACUAAAGUUCAUUAAAGGACAGAAAAUGAAAACGUAGUGAAUCUUUCUUUCACUCACUUCGGGCCAUUGAAGUAUGUGCACUGUACAGAAAGUUACUUUCUCAACUGGAACCUGGCUAGGUACUAGAGUGUUUAUACGACAGUGUCUUUGUUCUAAAUAGAAAAGGUGGUCCAAUUUUAAAAUGCAUCUGUCUCAUUAAGGAUCAACAGAUUUACAAAGUAAUUAGCUGUCUAGUCCUCAUGUUUAGGUCCUUGAAUGAUACCUGCAGUAUAGAAGUACCUUUUUGAGCUAGACUUUUCAAUUCAGGCUUCAUAAUUGAUGCAGAUGAGUCCUGCACCGCACUGGAGUCCUAAGAGAUUAUUCAUCUAAUACUAAAGCAAAAAGCUGGAGUAAAAGAGUUGAAUUGCCAGAUUUUUCCCCACUAAUAACAGGAAGAGUUCAAGAUUUGAACUUUAACUAUAGUAAUUUAUAUCACAGGUCUGACAGAAGGUGAGAUGGGUGCUACCCCAAGUCUUCACACUAACAGAACAAAUAGCAGCUUCAAGGAAUAUAUGAGCGUUUAACCUGACUCUGAGAAACUCUGGAAACAGUUAAGAAAUAUAGCACAUUGGGAAUAGCAGAAGGGGAGUUAUACUGAAGCUACUACACAUGAUACAGUGGUUUAACACAUUUGCAGAGUGCUGUUGACAUCCAGAGUGACUCCGGUUAUGUGAAUGAUUUAACCAAAUGAAGGACAACAUUCUCUGAAAUAACAAAGGCUAUUUCAAGAGAGUCCUACUGGUGUUAAGAAUGAAACAAGAAGUAAGAAGAACAGAAUCCUGGCUUUGUGCAAAGGGAAAUAACAAAUAAGAUAAAUACUGUGGUACUGUAUGUUUUAAUGGAAGCAGUCUCAUAGUGGAGAUAAAAACACGGAAGGCUACUAAGAAUUGUAUCUCCUCUGUCUUGUGCUGUUAAACAUCUCAGAGGUUCUGCUGCUUCCAAGCCUAUCAUUGAAGAACAAGUGGCUGCAGAGACAAGCUCUAGCAUCACUGCUACCUGUCACAGCCAACACACAAUAUCAUUUUAAUUCGCGCAUACUAAAGAGCAAUAAUAACGAAGUUGAAGAAGCGCCUUUUUGGAUCUUUAAAUCACAAAAAUAACCACAUUAUUGUGAGCAAUAUUUAGCUUCUCUAAAGUUUACCAACUUCUGUAGGAAGUUUGUCUAUAAAGCUCACCAAAAAUGUCAGGUACUUUACCUUUCGGAUGUUUACAAGCUACCAGCUUAAAAGAGAUCACAGAAUGAACCAAGGGGCUGGGGGGAUUGUUUUGUUUUGUUGUUGUGCUAUCUCAGUGACUCAGGUAAAUCGUCAUCUAUGUGUAUGAACUGAGCUAAAUUAAAAUAAAUCACUAAGCUUAUUCAAGUCUGCAUGAACGCAGGUUCUGAUUUUCUUUUUUGAAUACAUUUAAAACAUGAGAAGUAAUAUCAAGUUCUAUGAAUGUUCAUGAAUAAAGCUGUAGAAGAAAGAGAACACAUAAGCAGUAAUCAUCAAAUUAAGUAGCAGCUAUUUUGAUUUCAGAAAUGUAAAACUGCACAGGUCACAGAACAUAGCUUUAUUCUAUCGUCUCAAUCAUUGAUGGGGUAUGAGGGGUAUGCUUUGUCACAUUCAGUGAGCACUGAAGAACUUUGAGAUGAGUUAACUGGAACUGGGACUUUAUCUAAGAGACAUGCAAGCACACAAACAGAAGCAGUUCUGAUGUGGGAGCAUGGGAAAUAGGAAAUCUUGCUUUGUAAGUGCCCUGUUCCAGCCCCUACAUGCUCAAAAGCGAGCUUGACAAAACUCAGAUAAUACAAACAAAAGUUGGGAAAGAUAACACAAUAACGAGAGAUGUUAAGCCAACUGCUGCAUCUGAGAGAAGUUAGGUAAGUCAUUUUUCAUAUUACCUGCAGUAAUUUUUACAAUGAACCCAGAAGAGCAGUGACUCAGCUUCUUAUUUAACUCAUAACAAUGUUAAGACUGCUUUAAGUUGCAUCUUUUUAAAAUGCACGCAAUGUACAAUGAAUGAGGAAUCACUUUGUGCAAUGUAUGAUGAAUGAGAAGAUAUUAACAGUUUUGCUUGUGUAACAGCUGUCUUUAUGACUACAUCCUAGAAACAACAGCCCUCUCUUUCUCCAGCAGUAUGAACACAGUGUUCUACACUGCAAAAAAAUAGAACCACGUAUCUAAAUUCUACGCUUGUCUAUUUCAGCAGUCACUUUUUUGGCUUGACUAAAAUUACACAGUAAAAAAGGAAUAAUUGCACUUUAAUAAAAGGUUUUGGAAAGCCAACAUGACAAAUAGUUCUAUGGUUGAAGUAAUCACUGUCUACUGGACAAAUUUACUGACAACGUAAAUGUUAACGUUGCAUUAAAAAUAACUACUAUGCAAAGGGUUGCACUGCACUUAAGCAACAAGUAUAUAAGUACACUCUAAUCUAGCAAAGAUACAAUUAAGUAAACUGUAUCAUCUCUGCUUUUCUAAUCAUUCUAUAUUUAAUAAUAGUUACAUCAACUCCUUAUUUGGUCCAAGACAGGCAAGACAAGGUUUUUCUGCAAUGGAGCUCUGCCAAUACCUGACCACAACUCCGGUAGCUUAGGCAGGCUUCAUACUGUUGAGUAUCUUGGAAAGCUUCCUAAACUGACAUUGUAGUACUCAAUCUUAUUGCAUGUGCAGAUGCAGUUCUACAUGCACUUACACCAAGUUUUGUCAAACAUGCUUCUGUUCACAACCAAAAACUUCUACUCUUUAUCUGUGGUCAGCAAAACAUUUUUAUUUUCACCUCAUAUAUUCUACCUGAAGAAAAACUACCAGGCCUACAGACAUAGUGUAAGAUGAACUAUCAUUUGACAUACACCUCCUCUGUCUUGUACCAAGUUACAUCUUUUACCUUGUCUUCCUGUCCACCAGCAUGUGGAAAACACUUAACUUUAUGGUACUAACAUUGUAGGUAAUUUACACUCUGUGUUGUAAUUCUUUAUUAUUUAAUUCUUUAUUAUAGUUCCAAAAUUAUUGUUCAGUUAGAAGAUAAACCAUAUGCAGUACAUUUUGUAAGAAAAUACGUUAUUUAUUUAUUUUGUUUAAUAUCCAUUUUAAUCACUAUUCAGUAUUGAAAGAUCUUAAAAACAUUUAAGCUAAAGGCUUUUAAACACUAUUUUUCUAUCUAAAUGCAAGAACUAUCAAUAUCUCCAUUUAAAUCCUCUUAAAUAUCUUUAAUAGCACUACAUGUUAAAUCAGAAUUUGUGAUUCUUUUAUACUGAUGAAUUAUUUUAUCUCAGUAUUUAUGCAGCAAUUAUUACUUUAAGAACAAUGUAAUCAAAUUUAAAAUGCCAAGCAUACAUUCUUUUAUACUUUGUUCUUUGACUCUAUCAUACUUAUUUCCAAGGGAGAACAAAAUAGCACUGUAUCCAUUCACUGCCACUCCAGCUGACAGUUAUUUGCAAGCUAUACAUCAGUAGCUUGCUUCAUACAUUCUACUGUCAGAUUGCACAUCUCACUGAAUUAAGUCAAAAACUAGAACUUCCUCAUCUAAGAGAAAGAUAACCUAAAUUACUUUUCCAAAGGAAAAAAAAAAAAGACUAUACAUACUAUUUAAUUUUUCAAAGGACAUUAGGAAUAAACGUUCAACUGUACCU